RNAcentral lists this ribosomal RNA (1122 nucleotides) under Triticum aestivum (bread wheat). Its description in RNAcentral is "partial small subunit ribosomal RNA". The record is from RNAcentral. Lineage: Eukaryota; Viridiplantae; Streptophyta; Magnoliopsida; Poales; Poaceae.
AUGAAAAUACUUAGUUGGAACUGUCGGGGUUUGGGUCAACCUCGCACAGUUCAGGAGCUAGUGUGUCUCUCUAAGAUGCAACAACCCAAUGUUAUCUUUCUCUCCGAGACAAGGAAAAAUAAAGAUUAUGUUGAGCGUUUGCGUUAUCGAUUGGGUAUGAGUAAUGUUUUUACCUAUUAUUCUCCAGGGAAAGGUGGUGGUCUUGCGGUGUUCUGGGAUGAUUCUUAUACUAUACAGCUGAACAAAUAUGGGGAGCAUUUCAUUGAUAUGUUUAUCUGUACUGCUAAUGGAGCAAAGUGGAGAAGCACCUUUAUCUAUGGAGAGCCUAAGGCUAGUCAAAGGUACGUCAUGUGGGAACUUUUGCGGAGAAUUAAGCCUAUGGGUUCUGGUCCUUGGUUCAUGGUUGGAGAUUUCAAUGAAGCGAUGUGGCAAAAUGAGCACUUUUCUCGGAAUAAAAGGUCCAAUUCUUUGAUGGCUGAUUUUAGGAGUGUGCUCUCUGAUUGUAAUCUUUUUGACUUGGGGUUUCAUGGUACGCCGUGGACUUAUGACAACAAACAACAGGGUUCCAAAAAUGUUAGAGUAAGAUUGGACAGAGCUGUUGCGUGUCCUCAAUGGUCGGCACUAUUUCCGGAGUGCAGGGUGUCUCAUAUUAUUAGCUCAAGAUGUGACCAUUGCCCUCUGCUCAUUCAACUGUCAGGGUUGCCUCGGCAAGGUAAUAUUGUUAAACAGCUUAAAUACGAGGCAUACUGGGAGAGGGAAGGGAUGGUGUUAGAAGAGCAUAUUAAAUCUUGCUGGAACGAAGGUAUGUAUAUUGAUGAUUUGAAGGAUGUGGCUUCUAAGCUCAAGAGAAUGCUAGGAAAUUUGCAUGAUUGGAGUCGAAAAUAUAUUGGUUAUCUUCCUAGAAAGCUUGAGUUGGCUAGGAGCAGACUCAAGGUGCUUUAUAAUAGGAAUGAUCAUGCCGCUGUGAUGGAGAAAAAGUCUCUUCUCAAGGAAAUGGAUGAGUUGCUCUAUAAAGAGGAAAUGUUAUGGAAACAGAGGUCGCGGAUUGAUAAAAUUAGAUGGGGAGAUCGGAAUACAAAAUUCUUUAGAGCUCUUGGAGAGCAAAGAAAAAUUUAUAUCUAG